GAAAUGCGAUAAGUAGUGUGAAUUGCAGAAUUCAGUGAAUCAUCGAAUCUUUGAACGCACAUUGCGCCCUUUGGUAUUCCUUAGGGCAUGCCUGUUCGAGCGUCAUUUGAACCCUCAAGCUCAGCUUGGUGUUGGGUGUCUGUCCCCGCCCCGCGGGGACUCGCCUCAAAAACAUUGGCGGCCGGUACGUUGGCUUCGAGCGCAGCAGAAACGCGAACUCGGGGCCCGACGUAGCGGCGACCACAAGUCUAUUCAUCACUUUGACCUCGGAUCAGGUAGGGAUACCCGCUGAACUUAA
This 298-nucleotide unclassified non-coding RNA is filed under the name uncultured Preussia. RNAcentral's name for it is "sequence contains ITS1". The stretch from base 1 to 105 matches the Rfam family "5.8S ribosomal RNA", at positions 50 to 154 of the family's 154-position model. Lineage: Eukaryota; Fungi; Ascomycota; Dothideomycetes; Pleosporales; Sporormiaceae. The record is from RNAcentral.